Molecule: ribosomal RNA, 1873 nt
Filed under: Escherichia coli
Lineage: Bacteria; Pseudomonadati; Pseudomonadota; Gammaproteobacteria; Enterobacterales; Enterobacteriaceae
Description: partial 23S ribosomal RNA
Rfam family: Bacterial large subunit ribosomal RNA
Source: RNAcentral
GGUUAAGCGACUAAGCGUACACGGUGGAUGCCCUGGCAGUCAGAGGCGAUGAAGGACGUGCUAAUCUGCGAUAAGCGUCGGUAAGGUGAUAUGAACCGUUAUAACCGGCGAUUUCCGAAUGGGGAAACCCAGUGUGUUUCGACACACUAUCAUUAACUGAAUCCAUAGGUUAAUGAGGCGAACCGGGGGAACUGAAACAUCUAAGUACCCCGAGGAAAAGAAAUCAACCGAGAUUCCCCCAGUAGCGGCGAGCGAACGGGGAGCAGCCCAGAGCCUGAAUCAGUGUGUGUGUUAGUGGAAGCGUCUGGAAAGGCGCGCGAUACAGGGUGACAGCCCCGUACACAAAAAUGCACAUGCUGUGAGCUCGAUGAGUAGGGCGGGACACGUGGUAUCCUGUCUGAAUAUGGGGGGACCAUCCUCCAAGGCUAAAUACUCCUGACUGACCGAUAGUGAACCAGUACCGUGAGGGAAAGGCGAAAAGAACCCCGGCGAGGGGAGUGAAAAAGAACCUGAAACCGUGUACGUACAAGCAGUGGGAGCACGCUUAGGCGUGUGACUGCGUACCUUUUGUAUAAUGGGUCAGCGACUUAUAUUCUGUAGCAAGGUUAACCGAAUAGGGGAGCCGAAGGGAAACCGAGUCUUAACUGGGCGUUAAGUUGCAGGGUAUAGACCCGAAACCCGGUGAUCUAGCCAUGGGCAGGUUGAAGGUUGGGUAACACUAACUGGAGGACCGAACCGACUAAUGUUGAAAAAUUAGCGGAUGACUUGUGGCUGGGGGUGAAAGGCCAAUCAAACCGGGAGAUAGCUGGUUCUCCCCGAAAGCUAUUUAGGUAGCGCCUCGUGAAUUCAUCUCCGGGGGUAGAGCACUGUUUCGGCAAGGGGGUCAUCCCGACUUACCAACCCGAUGCAAACUGCGAAUACCGGAGAAUGUUAUCACGGGAGACACACGGCGGGUGCUAACGUCCGUCGUGAAGAGGGAAACAACCCAGACCGCCAGCUAAGGUCCCAAAGUCAUGGUUAAGUGGGAAACGAUGUGGGAAGGCCCAGACAGCCAGGAUGUUGGCUUAGAAGCAGCCAUCAUUUAAAGAAAGCGUAAUAGCUCACUGGUCGAGUCGGCCUGCGCGGAAGAUGUAACGGGGCUAAACCAUGCACCGAAGCUGCGGCAGCGACGCUGAUGCGUUGUUGGGUAGGGGAGCGUUCUGUAAGCCUGCGAAGGUGUGCUGUGAGGCAUGCUGGAGGUAUCAGAAGUGCGAAUGCUGACAUAAGUAACGAUAAAGCGGGUGAAAAGCCCGCUCGCCGGAAGACCAAGGGUUCCUGUCCAACGUUAAUCGGGGCAGGGUGAGUCGACCCCUAAGGCGAGGCCGAAAGGCGUAGUCGAUGGGAAACAGGUUAAUAUUCCUGUACUUGGUGUUACUGCGAAGGGGGGACGGAGAAGGCUAUGUUGGCCGGGCGACGGUUGUCCCGGUUUAAGCGUGUAGGCUGGUUUUCCAGGCAAAUCCGGAAAAUCAAGGCUGAGGCGUGAUGACGAGGCACUACGGUGCUGAAGCAACAAAUGCCCUGCUUCCAGGAAAAGCCUCUAAGCAUCAGGUAACAUCAAAUCGUACCCCAAACCGACACAGGUGGUCAGGUAGAGAAUACCAAGGCGCUUGAGAGAACUCGGGUGAAGGAACUAGGCAAAAUGGUGCCGUAACUUCGGGAGAAGGCACGCUGAUAUGUAGGUGAAGUCCCUUGCGGAUGGAGCUGAAAUCAGUCGAAGAUACCAGCUGGCUGCAACUGUUUAUUAAAAACACAGCACUGUGCAAACACGAAAGUGGACGUAUACGGUGUGACGCCUGCCCGGUGCCGGAAGGUUAAUUGAUGGGGUUAGCCGCAA